GAUGAACGCUGGCGGCGUGCCUAAUACAUGCAAGUCGAGCGAACAGACGAGGAGCUUGCUCCUCUGACGUUAGCGGCGGACGGGUGAGUAACACGUGGAUAACCUACCUAUAAGACUGGGAUAACUUCGGGAAACCGGAGCUAAUACCGGAUAAUAUAUUGAACCGCAUGGUUCAAUAGUGAAAGACGGUUUUGCUGUCACUUAUAGAUGGAUCCGCGCCGCAUUAGCUAGUUGGUAAGGUAACGGCUUACCAAGGCAACGAUGCGUAGCCGACCUGAGAGGGUGAUCGGCCACACUGGAACUGAGACACGGUCCAGACUCCUACGGGAGGCAGCAGUAGGGAAUCUUCCGCAAUGGGCGAAAGCCUGACGGGCAACGCCGCGUGAGUGAUGAAGGUCUUCGGAUCGUAAAACUCUGUUAUUAGGGAAGAACAAAUGUGUAAGUAACUAUGCACGUCUUGACGGUACCUAAUCAGAAAGCCACGGCUAACUACGUG
Molecule: ribosomal RNA, 496 nt
Filed under: uncultured bacterium
Lineage: Bacteria
Description: partial 16S ribosomal RNA
Rfam family: Bacterial small subunit ribosomal RNA
Source: RNAcentral